UGCGCAGGCGGCUUAUUAAGUCAGUGGUGAAAUCUCUCGGCUCAACCGAGAAACUGCCAUUGAAACUGAUAAGCUUGAGUGUAGUUGUAGUAGGCGGAAUAUAGCAUGUAGCGGUGAAAUGCUUAGAUAUGCUAUAGAACACCGAUCGCGGAGGCAGCUUACUAAACUAUCACUGACGCUCAUGCACGAAAGCGUGGGGAGCAAACAGGAUUAGAUACCCUGGUAGUCC
RNAcentral lists this ribosomal RNA (229 nucleotides) under uncultured bacterium. Its description in RNAcentral is "partial 16S ribosomal RNA". It matches the Rfam family "Bacterial small subunit ribosomal RNA", at positions 568 to 796 of the family's 1533-position model. The record is from RNAcentral.